AGCCCAGCUUUGUGGGUGCUGCCGCUGAUUUCCACGCUCAGCCCUGGUUCUCCUUGCAGGACGCACUCCCCUUCUCUAGGCUACUGUGAAGAUGUUCUUAACAGAGCAGAUGGCGGAGGCCUGACCUCUCCCCCAUCCUGACUCCCCUAACCCAGCCCUCGAUCUCACCUUAAACCUGACCCUGCUUCAGUGUUUACCCGUUAGCCUAGGGGCUGACCCCUUGACCCACACCCCCCAUCGUUCUAACCCUUAAUCUCUACCCCGUUCUCAUGCUGUACCCCAGCCAUACUCCAAUUUGAACCCUGCCCUUUUCUUGGCAGCCCCAAGUCUAACGUAACCCGCAGACAUCCAGAUCCAGUCGUGAUUGAAAUUAAGGUAAACUGAGGCACAAAACUUCCACCCAUGUAAUUUUUUGGGAAAGCAAUAGCAAUUACCAACAAAAGGAAAUCUAUCUCAUCGGCAAGCUGAAAGACCCCAAAUGAGGGCAGUCAUCCUUAAAAGGAGGAGCCACCAAAAAUCAGAAGGCCGCAUCUCGACCGGGAAGACACCGGGAUUGGUUACAGAACCUUAGCAUCAGAGGUGUAGGGGGUAGGACUGGCUGGCAGUUGGGAACGCGGGCCAACGAGCUCUUGGCGGUAGCCACGUGCAUAGAGCGGACCAGGCGCUCAUGGAGGUGACGGCUGGUGUGACUGACAUAACAGGUUUCCUUCACCGAAAAGCCGUUCCUAAGGAGACGGAACUCGUAAGGCAGCCGGCGUCUAGUGUCAGAUACGAGAUACGGGGCACAAAGCGCUGGACCUGGAGUCAGGAAGACUGAAUUCAAAUCCAGCCUCAGACCUGCCACUUCACCUCUGUCUGCCUCAAUUUCUUCAGCUGUAAAAUGGGGGGCAUACUAGCACCUACGCCAUAGAGUUGUGGUGAGGACCAAGGCAGGCAAUACUUGUAAAGCGCUUAACAGUGCUUAAUGCAUGUUCCUGCCGUCUCCUCAGUUUCUGAGACUGAUUCUCAGACCGGAGCCAAGGAAAAUGGCACAAGGAUCUCUAAGGCCCUCCCUCCCAGCCCGAGGACAGUGGGGUUCUUGAGAUUCUGUUAGCCUUGGUUUGGGCCUUGGGGGUCACUCUGAAGGCGGUACCAAACAUUGGUUAUGAAUUCAAGCCCUUGCCCCAGUGAGUACGUGGCAAGCUUUAUCCAAAGCAAUGCCAGAGAGUUAGGAAAAUGAGCUUUAUCUGCCAGGAGAUGGAGAAUAAUUAGACAUGAGGUUAAUGAUAAACUCGUGUCCCUGCUGUUAAUAGUAGAUGCUCCAUAUGCUUUUGUGAUAUUGAACUUAUAACCACCACGACUCAUCCCCUUGUCACGCCCAUCUUUUCCUGCUUCUCACAUUUCUCCCUGGUGAUGUUUGUCCAAAGCCCCAGCCUUUUCCGUGAAUGGGGCCUCUUUCCUGCUUCCCACCCCUCCCUCUCAAAGUCUUAGGGAAGGGCAAAGCCUUUCCUAUCCUGCCUCAUCUCCCUCCCACCCUGUCCUUUCCUCUCUGCCAUGAUCACUCUCAUUCUUAUUUGUUCUGGGAUCCUCCCUGUUCCCGUACCCACAGACAAGGAAAGGAUGUCUUUCCUUGGCCAUGAGACCACUUCAGAAAAUUUGGGUUCAUAUUCCACCUCAAAGCUGUGAAAUUGGAGAAAUCCGUUCCUAUCUUUGAAACUCAGUUUUCUCAUCUGUAAAAUAGGGAUAAUUCACAUGGCUAUCAAAAGCAAUGUAUAAAUUUAAGCUGCCUUUAUUUUUUCUCGUGUGAACUGUUACUCUUAAUAAAUAACCAAUGGUUAAUG
Vombatus ursinus (common wombat) is the source of this 1820-nucleotide long non-coding RNA. RefSeq lists it as uncharacterized. The record is from RefSeq and is a predicted model, not a curated record. The transcript has 2 exons. NCBI's taxonomy places the organism in Eukaryota, Metazoa, Chordata, Mammalia, Diprotodontia, Vombatidae.